AUAACUCCAACACCGUGUUCACUUCCCGGACCCCGCCGAGAAGAGACCAUCACGGUUACAUACGCAGUUGAUGCAUUUUAAUUAAGUUAAGUUUCAGGUUAUCUACAACUGGACAUUAACAAAUUCCCAUCUGCCCAUAACCGCGGGCACGGCUUUCGAAAGUUCAAAACCCUGCAGGGGUGUCCCAACUUAGCCCAUCACAAGCUCUCACGGUCAAUGAAAGAUAUUCCUUCUCCUAAGACACUCCGAUCAGACUCGGAAUCCCGGUUACAAGACAUCUCGACAAUGGUAAAACAAGUCCAGCAAGACCACCCGCUGUGCCAACAAAUCCUGAUAGGAACUGCACAUAUCUCGUUCUCAGGGCACACCAGAUAAGCUAAGCGUACGGAAGCCAAUGUAACCCAAGUUGCCAAGGGACGGCCCCGCACGAUGCUCUGGGUUGGACCAACACUUAGAGAAGCACUGGCCCGGGGGUUUAAAAUAAAGAUGACCCUUGAGUCCGUGAAACCCAAGGAAAAAAGGCUAGGUGGCGAAUGGUAAAACCAAGGUUGGGCCUUGCUAGAGGAGUUUUAUUCAAGGCGAACUUUCAAGGGGUUCCCAUUAUAACCCAACCGUGUAAGGAACACAAAAUCAAGGAACAUAACACCGGUAUGACGGAAACCAGGGCGGCAAGAGUGGAACAAAACACCAGGCAUAAGGCCGAGCCUUCCACCCUUUACCAAGUAUAUAGGUGCAUUAGGAUAAUCAAGAUAAUAUUAUGAUAUCCCAACAAUAAACAUGUUCCAACAAGGAACAAACUCCAAACUUCACCUGCAACUAGCAACGCUAUAAGAGGGGCUGAGCAAAGCGGUAACAUAGCCAAACAACGGUUUGCUAGGACAAGGUGGGUUAGAGGUUUGACAUGGCAAUUUGGGAGGCAUGAUAAGCAAGUGGUAGGUAUCGUAGCAGGGGCAUAGCAAAAGAGCGAGCAUCUAGCAAGCAAAGAUAGAAGUGAUUUUGAGGGUAUGGUCAUCUUGCCUGCAAAGUUCUCUGAGUUGACUUGAUCCUCGUAAGCGUACUCAACGGGCUCCUCGAUCACGUACUCGUCUCCCGGCUCUACCCAAAGCAAGAACAACAAGCAAAGGGAAACACAAUCAACCACGUGCAAUGCUCAAACAACAUGAUGCAAACAUGGUCAUGAUAUGCGGGAUGCGAUAUGUGAUGCAUAUGCAUGAUUUGGAAAGGAAUGAUUGAACCUGGCCUCAACUUGGAAAACCAAGAGUGCCACUGGAAAGGUGAGUUGAUUUCAGUCGAAAUCAAUAUAAAUAUCACCGGAAUCGGAUGCACGGUUUGGAAAUGGCGAGCAAAACAAAUAUGGCAUCGGUCUGCGAUUAACAACACGAGACCAUAUAAAUGCAUCAAGGACAACAUGCUACAGCACUCCAACAUAGCAACAAAAUACAUGGUAGGGAUCCACUCAAGAUGCUUGACAAAAGAUGAACACUGAGCUACGGCCAAUUCACUCAAUAGCAGGUUCAAACAAGCAUGGCAAAAGUGCAAAAGAUAAUAGGUUACAGACUUCGUGAAAAUAACAAGUCAGGAAGUUAACAUCAGGAAGCCAUCUUUAGAGCAAGAUAACAACAUGUUACAGGAACAUAUCAUGGAAAAGCAAGGCAUGGCAUGAAGCUACUCAAAGCAUACAACAAAAGUCCCUUACUGAACAUAAGCCAAAAGGGACCAUAAUUUUACAACUAGCAACGGAAUGGACACCGGAGACUGUUUAAUUAAAACAAAGCAUUGCGAUGGUCCUCGCGGAUGCUGACGCAAUGUGAUUUCUGCCCAGUGCUCUGAAUGUCAAAGUGAAGAAAUUCAACCAAGUGCGGGUAAACGACGGGAGUAACUAUGACUCUCUUAAGGUAGCCAAAUGCCUCGUCAUCUAAUUAGUGACGCACAUGAAUGGAUUAACGAGAUUCCCACUGUCCCUCUCUACUAUCCAGCGAAACCACAUCCUAGGGAAUGGGCUUGGCAGAAUCAGCGGGGAAAGAAGACCCUGUUGAGCUUGACUCUAGUCCGACUUUGUGAAAUGACUUGAGAGGUGUAUGAUAAGUGGGAGCCCUCACGGGCGCAAGUGAAAUACCACUACUUUUAACGUUAUUNAUACCACUACUUUUAACGUUAUUUUACUUAUUCCGUGGGUCGGAAGCGGGGCAUGUCCCCUCCUUUUGGCUCCAAGGCCCGGUCUUACCGGGCCGAUCCGGGCGGAAGACAUUGUCAGGUGGGGAGUUUGGCUGAGGCGGCACAUCUGUUAAAAGAUAACGCAGGUGUCCUAAGAUGAGCUCAACGAGAACAGAAAUCUUGUGUGGAACAAAAGGGUAAAAGCUCGUUUGAUUCUGAUUUCCAGUACGAAUACGAACCGUGAAAGCGUGGCCUAUCAAUCCUUUAGAUCUUCGGAGUUUGAAGCUAGAGGUGUCAGAAAAGUUACCACAGAGAUAACUGGCUUGUGGCAGCCAAGCGUUCAUAGCGACGUUGCUUUUUGAUCCUUCGAUGCCGGCUCUUCCUAUCAUUGUGAAGUAGAAUUCACCAAGUGUUGGAUUGUUCACCCACCAAUAGGGAACGUGAGCUGGGUUUAAACCGUCGUGAGAUAGGUUAGUUUUACCCUACUGAUGACAGUGUCGCGAUAGUAAUUCAACCUAGUACAAGAGGAACCGUUGAUUCACACAAUUGGUAAUCGUGCUUGGUUGAAAAGCCAGUGGCGCGAAGCUACCGUGUGCCGGAUUAUGACUGAACGCCUCUAAGUCAGAAUCCAAGCUAGCAUGCGACGCCUGCGCCCGUCGCCCGCCCCGACCCAUGUUAGGGGCGCUUGCGCCCCCAAGGGCCCGUGCCAUUGGCUAAGCCGGUCCGGCCGAGACCGGCCGCCUCGAAGCUCCCUUCCCAACGGGUGGUGGGCUAAAUCCUUUGCAGACGACUUAAAUACACGACGAGGCAUUGUAAGUGGCAGAGUGGCCUUGCUGCCACGAUCCAUUGAGAUCCAGCCCCAUGUCGCACGGAUUCGUCCCUC
RNAcentral lists this ribosomal RNA (3037 nucleotides) under Triticum aestivum (bread wheat). RNAcentral describes it as "eukaryotic LSU rRNA". The stretch from base 1525 to 3030 matches the Rfam family "Eukaryotic large subunit ribosomal RNA", at positions 1890 to 3399 of the family's 3401-position model. The record is from RNAcentral. Lineage: Eukaryota; Viridiplantae; Streptophyta; Magnoliopsida; Poales; Poaceae.